This 108-nucleotide unclassified non-coding RNA is filed under the name uncultured Glomeraceae. RNAcentral describes it as "sequence contains ITS1". Lineage: Eukaryota; Fungi; Glomeromycota; Glomeromycetes; Glomerales; Glomeraceae. The record is from RNAcentral.
CCAAUCUUUUUAGCGAGCCAUGGCUUUGUUCAUGGUCUCGCGAAAACUUGUAUUUAAAACCCGCUCAUAAAUUAAAAAAACAUUUUAUUAUUGUAAUAAUAAUAAAGA